RNAcentral lists this ribosomal RNA (391 nucleotides) under uncultured bacterium. Its description in RNAcentral is "bacterial SSU rRNA". It matches the Rfam family "Bacterial small subunit ribosomal RNA", at positions 28 to 420 of the family's 1533-position model. The record is from RNAcentral.
GACGAACGCUGGCGGCGUGCUUAACACAUGCAAGUCGAGCGGUAAGGCCCUUUCGGGGGUACACGAGCGGCGAACGGGUGAGUAACACGUGGGUGACCUGCCCUCAGCUCUGGGAUAAGCCUGGGAAACCGGGUCUAAUACUGGAUAUGACUCCAUGACGCAUGUUGUGGGGUGGAAAGCCUUGUGCGGCUGAGGAUGGGCCCGCGGCCUAUCAGCUUGUUGGUGGGGUGANGGCCUACCAAGGCGACGACGGGUAGCCGGCCUGAGAGGGCGACCGGCCACACUGGGACUGAGACACGGCCCAGACUCCUACGGGAGGCAGCAGUGGGGAAUCUUGCGCAAUGGGCGAAAGCCUGACGCAGCGACGCCGCGUGAGGGAUGACGGCCUGGU